GACAGGGGUGGCAAGCGUUAAUCGGAAUUACUGGGCGUAAAGCGUGCGUAGGUGGUCCGGUAAGUCAGAUGUGAAAGCCCUGGGCUUAACCUGGGAAUUGCAUUUGAUACUGCCAGACUAGAGUUUGGUAGAGGGAAGUGGAAUUCCACGUGUAGCGGUGAAAUGCGUAGAUAUGUGGAGGAACACCAGUGGCGAAGGCGGCUUCCUGGACUAAAACUGACACUGAGGCACGAAAGCGUGGGGAGCAAACAGG
Molecule: ribosomal RNA, 253 nt
Filed under: uncultured organism
Description: partial 16S ribosomal RNA
Rfam family: Bacterial small subunit ribosomal RNA
Source: RNAcentral